UACGAGUGCCCUCGAGCGUUAUCCGGAAUUAUUGGGCGUAAAGCGCGCGUAGGCGGUUUGUUAAGUCAGAUGUGAAAGCCCAUGGCUCAACCAUGGACGUGCAUUUGAAACUGGCAGACUUGAGUAUUGGAGGGGUGGUGGAAUUCCCGGUGUAGAGGUGAAAUUCGUAGAUAUCGGGAGGAAUACCGGUGGCGAAGGCGACCACCUGGCCAAAUACUGACGCUGAGGUGCGAAGGCGUGGGGAGCAAACAGGAUUAGAUACCCCUGUAGU
Molecule: ribosomal RNA, 271 nt
Filed under: uncultured bacterium
Lineage: Bacteria
Description: partial 16S ribosomal RNA
Rfam family: Bacterial small subunit ribosomal RNA
Source: RNAcentral